AGUGAACGCUGGCGGCAGGCCUAACACAUGCAAGUCGAACGGCAGCACAAGAGAGCUUGCUCUCUGGGUGGCGAGUGGCUGACGGGUGAGGAAUGCAUCGGAAUCUGCCCAUUUGUGGGGGAUAACCUCGGGAAACCGGGACUAAUACCGCAUACGACCUACGGGUGAAAGCAGGGGAUCUUCGGACCUUGCGCAGAUGGAUGAGCCGAUGCCGGAUUAGCUAGUUGGAGGGGUAAAGGCCCACCAAGGCGACGAUCCGUAGCUGGUCUGAGAGGAUGAUCAGCCACACUGGGACUGAGACACGGCCCAGACUCCUACGGGAGGCAGCAGUGGGGAAUAUUGGACAAAGGGCGCAAGCCUGAUCCAGCCAUGCCGCGUGUGUGAAGAAGGCCUUCGGGUUGUAAAGCACUUUUGUUGGGAAAGAAAAGCAGCCGGUUAAUACCCGGUUGUCAUGACGGUACCCAAAGAAUAAGCACCGGCUAACUUCGUG
Molecule: ribosomal RNA, 490 nt
Filed under: uncultured bacterium
Lineage: Bacteria
Description: partial 16S ribosomal RNA
Rfam family: Bacterial small subunit ribosomal RNA
Source: RNAcentral